AUGCAAGUAGAACGCUGAAGGAGGAGCUUGCUCUCUCUGGAUGAGUUGCGAACGGGUGAGUAACGCGUAGGUAACCUGCCUGGUAGCGGGGGAUAACUAUUGGAAACGAUAGUUAAUACCGCAUAACAGUAGAUGUUGCAUGACAUUUGCUUAAAAGGUGCAAUUGCAUCACUACCAGAUGGACCUGCGUUGUAUUAGCUAGUUGGUGGGGUAACGGCUCACCAAGGCGACGAUACAUAGCCGACCUGAGAGGGUGAUCGGCCACACUGGGACUGAGACACGGCCCAAACUCCUACGGGAGGCAGCAGUAGGGAAUCUUCGGCAAUGGACGGAAGUCUGACCGAGCAAUGCCGCGUGAGUGAAGAAGGUUUUCGGAUCGUAAAGCUCUGUUGUAAGAGAAGAACGAGUGUGAGAGUGGAAAGUUCACACUGUGACGGUAUCUUACCAGAAAGGGACGGCUAACUACGUGCCAGCAGCCGCGGUAAUACGUAGGUCCCGAGCGUUGUCCGGAUUUAUUGGGCGUAAAGCGAGCGCAGGCGGUUAGAUAAGUCUGAAGUUAAAGGCUGUGGCUUAACCAUAGUACGCUUUGGAAACUGUUUAACUUGAGUGCAAGAGGGGAGAGUGGAAUUCCAUGUGUAGCGGUGAAAUGCGUAGAUAUAUGGAGGAACACCGGUGGCGAAAGCGGCUCUCUGGCUUGUAACUGACGCUGAGGCUCGAAAGCGUGGGGAGCAAACAGGAUUAGAUACCCUGGUAGUCCACGCCGUAAACGAUGAGUGCUAGGUGUUAGACCCUUUCCGGGGUUUAGUGCCGUAGCUAACGCAUUAAGCACUCCGCCUGGGGAGUACGACCGCAAGGUUGAAACUCAAAGGAAUUGACGGGGGCCCGCACAAGCGG
Molecule: ribosomal RNA, 894 nt
Filed under: uncultured bacterium
Lineage: Bacteria
Description: bacterial SSU rRNA
Rfam family: Bacterial small subunit ribosomal RNA
Source: RNAcentral